UGUCCUUUGAGGGUGGAGCUGGAAACCUAACCUGAAAACAGGAGAAAUUACUUGGCAAGAGAGAGCUAGGAGGCAAUUCAGCCAUUCCUGGGGGCAUUUCAGCAGGAUCAACACACCUUCAACCUGAAAGCUUCAGGAAACCACACUCAAGAAGUCAAAGUGCUAAGAAGUUUUCACCCUGCUGUCAGACCCAGUGGUCCUGUCAAGCUUUUUUUCUCCUACUGAUAUUAACUUCCCAGAUAUUUCUGAGUCUCUUUGUCCUGAAACUGCACCAAAAGUUGGAAACAUUUAAGCGAGGAGAAGCUGCAAUUCAAAAGAAUGGAUCUUUUGGCAUUACCAGGGAGCAGAAGAAUGUGGAAACAAAUCAUAGCAAAAAGGAUGAGAUGGAUUCUAAAUUGAAGACCUUAAACCAGCAGGAAAUUAAUUAUGUUCUUGAGUUUGUUUACAAACUAAAUAUGUCCUCAACUCUGGAGCUCCACAAAACCAAGGAAAGAAUCAUUCAACUGCAAAACCAUUUGCUCAACUUAACAGACCAAUUUCUUUCUAUGGAGACUGUUAUUGAUUCUCUGGUCCACUCUAGCGAUCUUCAGCAUCCUGUGCAGGAGAAACUGACCAUACUCGAGAAACAGCUGGAAAACACCACCGUGGCUUUGACUAACCUUCACAACCACCUUGAAGAGGGGCUAGACACAGCUUUUCGACAGAUUUCACAACUUAAGGAUGGUUUUUACUUUCCAGAAGAUUCAAAGAAUCGCACCACCAUGGAUCACAAUAGUUCAUACCUCUCACCAGCUAAACCCUCACAAGAAGCAAAACUGAGACUCUCUGAACCUUGGCUCCCUUCUGUGACAUCCAGUCCAAGUAAUGAAAUUUCUGUGCCAGAAUCAACCUCCCAAAUUCCAGAAGAAACCACGAAUUCAGUGACACUGGAAGAGAAGACCAAAUUAAACAUCUCAUUCAUAAACACUCUCACAGGUAAGAGUUUCAGGGUCGAGUGGGUUUCUAGAAAAUAUAUUUGGAAACUGAAUCAGAAAGUUG
This 1038-nucleotide long non-coding RNA is filed under the name Monodelphis domestica (gray short-tailed opossum). RNAcentral's name for it is "lncRNA (ENSMODG00000042859.1)". Lineage: Eukaryota; Metazoa; Chordata; Mammalia; Didelphimorphia; Didelphidae. The record is from RNAcentral.